This is a long non-coding RNA of Danio aesculapii, 599 nucleotides long. RefSeq lists it as uncharacterized. Lineage: Eukaryota; Metazoa; Chordata; Actinopteri; Cypriniformes; Danionidae. The transcript is spliced from 4 exons. The record is from RefSeq and is a predicted model, not a curated record.
GGAAGAAGCGUGUGAUGACAGAUGACAGUCACCAAAACAAAACAUCUGCAGUUUGUUUUAAAUACAUAAUUUACAGAUGACAGCUUAGCGACAGACUCUUAAUGUGUUUAAACAGCACAUAUUCCAGCUCAACAGCAGAUUAAAGCAGCAGAAUCUGCGAUCAAGUGCAGGAAUCGACUGAAGAGACUCACCUGUUGUGUUUGGACUGUACAGCCAAGAGAAACGGAGCUCUGGGACAUUUGACAGCCAUGGACUGUAAGGACGGACGUCUGCUGCUGGACAGGGUCCCUCUUGUGGUCAUCAAGUGUAUCGAUCUUCAAGCAGAAGUGGCUGUCUGCUUUGCUCUGCUGCAGGCAAAAGCAGAAGCCCGUCUGGACACAGUUCUAGUGCUCAGGGGAGACACCCGUCUCGUUCUCAAACACACCACAGCAUUCACUCAUUGUGGAGAUGGGAAGUCUGUACCGUAAAGCCAGAUUAGUGGCUAGCCAGUUCAGUUUCAGUUUAGUUUGCACCAAUUCUUGGUUUUAGGUUCCAUAAAGGAGCUCAGCUCAUCUCGGCUGCUCCAUGAUAUCAAGACAAUAAAGAGUGAUUGAAGUCCA